Long non-coding RNA from Ostrinia nubilalis (European corn borer), 1053 nucleotides. RefSeq lists it as uncharacterized. The transcript has 5 exons. NCBI's taxonomy places the organism in Eukaryota, Metazoa, Arthropoda, Insecta, Lepidoptera, Crambidae. The record is from RefSeq and is a predicted model, not a curated record.
UGAGGAUAAAUAAAUCCAAAACAAUCUAUUGGUUAUGAUGAAUGGAUGUCCUAUUUUUUAUUCAUCCAUGAAGAUAAUAAUAACAUCUCGGCGACCAUCCAAGCUGUUGCUGAUCAGUUCAUCCAAAACUGUAUCCUGCCAUCUACAUCAGAGCCACAUUAUGGAUAAUAUUAUUGCUGCGUCCUAAGGUUCAGCUUGCAAAUAAACUCAUCAAGCAGAGGCAGUACUGUCUUGGAUGGAGUCAUGAAUCGCGCAUUUCAAGACCAAUGGCGUGGAAUAGAGUGGGGUAUAAUCGGAGUCUUAGAAGACUUAGAUUAUGUCGAUGACCUCUGUUUGCUGAGCCACACGCAUCGCGAUAUGCAGUCCAAACUUGAUGACCUACAUCGAGAAGCGGGUAUCACAGGGCUCAAAAUUAACUGCCGGAAGACCCAAGAGAUGCGAUCUGGUGUGAGAAAUUGCACGCCAUUACGGAUUGGUGCAGAGGAUGUGGCACGAGUCCACAAUUUCACCUAACUCGGGAGCGUCGUGUCAGAAACUGGAGGUACCGAAGAGGACAUCACUUUGCGCAUUGCCAAGGCCAGAGCUACCUUCGCACAACUUCGCCCCAUAUGGCAGUCACGGAAAAUUUAUUGACCCGAAGGGUCAAGAUCAAAAUAUUCGGGUCCAACGUUAAAUCCGUUCUGCUCUAUGGGUGUGAAACGUGGAAGGUCACCAAGGUAUUGAGUGAAAAAACUGCCCCAAUCAUACAGCACCAAAUUUGAUUCCGGCCCAGUGUAUAGUUUUUUCAACUAAAGUUUUUUGUUAUUUUUGCCUCAAGAAUGUACUUAUUGUGAAUUUCUUUGUUAAUGGCUGUAUAGUUUUACUUGAGUCAAAGAAAAUCGUAGUUGUUGUAUAAACAAAUAAUUUAUAAAUCUAUUAGGGUAAAUUUUAUUGUCGUCUUUUUUUUUCUUAGAAACUUGCAGUACAUUAUUCACUUUUUGGAAACUGAUAAUUACUUGUUAAUACCAUAAUUUAUUAUGGAAAAUUGUACUGUUAAGUAGGUCUUUUGUAGUU